RNAcentral lists this ribosomal RNA (525 nucleotides) under Alexandrium minutum. RNAcentral's name for it is "eukaryotic LSU rRNA". The stretch from base 164 to 318 matches the Rfam family "5.8S ribosomal RNA". The record is from RNAcentral. Lineage: Eukaryota; Dinophyceae; Gonyaulacales; Pyrocystaceae.
UUUCCGACUUUGUGAGCUGUGGUGGGGUUCCUAGGCUUUAGGUUCUGCAUCAUUUGCUCGUGGGUGGCAUGGCUUGCUUCUGCAAGCGCUUUCAUGCUGCUGUGUUGAUGACCUUUUGUUGAUUGCUUGUACUUGUUUCUUGCAUUGAACUUGAAUGUGAAAUGUGUUUUUGCAAUGAAUGUCUUAGCUCAAUUGAUGAUGAAGAAUGCAGCAAAAUGUGAUAUGCAUUGUGAAUUGCAGAAUUCCGUGAGCCAAUAGAUGUUUGAACGUAAUUUGCACCUUCGGGAUAUGCUUGAAGGUGUGCUUGAUUCAAUGUCAAUUAACUUCCAACAUUGAAUUUGCUGUUCAGCAACGUUGUGAGCUGUGUGUGUCAAUGCUGUUGCAUUGGACACCCGCGCUUGCGAAUGCAUUGCAACCUCAUUGUGUUUGCUUAGGUCUAGCCUUUGUCACUUGCAUUGGUUGCAUAGUAUUUGUCUGGGUAGCUGAACAGCGUAAACUUAACAUGAAGUGAAGCAUGUAAACCUG